RNAcentral lists this ribosomal RNA (523 nucleotides) under Bifidobacterium longum. RNAcentral's name for it is "bacterial SSU rRNA". It matches the Rfam family "Bacterial small subunit ribosomal RNA", at positions 158 to 696 of the family's 1533-position model. Lineage: Bacteria; Bacillati; Actinomycetota; Actinomycetes; Bifidobacteriales; Bifidobacteriaceae. The record is from RNAcentral.
GGGUGGUAAUGCCGGAUGUUCCAGUUGAUCGCAUGGUCUUCUGGGAAAGCUUUCGCGGUAUGGGAUGGGGUCGCGUCCUAUCAGCUUGACGGCGGGGUAACGGCCCACCGUGGCUUCGACGGGUAGCCGGCCUGAGAGGGCGACCGGCCACAUUGGGACUGAGAUACGGCCCAGACUCCUACGGGAGGCAGCAGUGGGGAAUAUUGCACAAUGGGCGCAAGCCUGAUGCAGCGACGCCGCGUGAGGGAUGGAGGCCUUCGGGUUGUAAACCUCUUUUAUCGGGGAGCAAGCGAGAGUGAGUUUACCCGUUGAAUAAGCACCGGCUAACUACGUGCCAGCAGCCGCGGUAAUACGUAGGGUGCAAGCGUUAUCCGGAAUUAUUGGGCGUAAAGGGCUCGUAGGCGGUUCGUCGCGUCCGGUGUGAAAGUCCAUCGCUUAACGGUGGAUCCGCGCCGGGUACGGGCGGGCUUGAGUGCGGUAGGGGAGACUGGAAUUCCCGGUGUAACGGUGGAAUGUGUAGAUA